Transfer RNA from [Clostridium] cellulosi, 84 nucleotides. It matches the Rfam family "tRNA". Rfam says of the family: Transfer RNA (tRNA) molecules are approximately 80 nucleotides in length. Their secondary structure includes four short double-helical elements and three loops (D, anti-codon, and T loops). The record is from Rfam. NCBI's taxonomy places the organism in Bacteria, Bacillati, Bacillota, Clostridia, Eubacteriales, Oscillospiraceae.
GCCGCUGUGGCGAAAUAGGCAGACGCAAGGGACUUAAAAUCCCUCGGUAGCAAUACCAUACCGGUUCGAGUCCGGUCAGCGGCA